GCGGGGGAGGGGAGGCGGGCUGCAGGCCCCGGGCGUGGAGUUUACCUGCACCGUGGGAACCUCCCUUCCCCCGGGCGCGCAGCCCUGGCUCCGCCCUGCGGGGCCCCGCCCCAGGGAAGCCGGGGCCGCUGUCGGGCCGCCGCAGGGGAAGCUCGCCUGCGCAGGUGUCGCAGGGUCACACCCGCCCCGGGGGUUGCAAACCGCAAGCGAAAGUCGAGAGGGGCUGGAGCUUUUCCUCUAAUCCGUUUUACACUGUGAAAACCGCAAAGCUGUCGCCUAGGCGGCCACUUUUUAAUUGGGAGGCAAACAGACGAAACGCCAAAACAAAUGCGCAAGCUGACUUUCUUUCCGGAUGGUUUUCCUUCUCAACGAAACGCCCGCUCUCUGGUGAAAGGGAGGCCGAUCUGCGCUCACGUUUGCUCGCUUCGGGGCCUGGCCUGGGGCGCACGGGAGCCCGCGCCCCCAGCGCGUGGGGCAGAUCGGACUGCACCCCUCUCCCGGCGCUUUUCCCCCAGCCUCGGUCGUCCCCCGCGUCCCUCCUCGCCAUCCGCUCCAUGCACGCCCCAUCCCGCAAGCUCCACGCAAGCUUUCUCGCUCGCGCUGCAGAGCAGAUGUGGGUGCUUGGGUGUUGGGGGCUCCGAGCGCGUUGAAUUGGCUCCGAUUCAGAUUCCUCCCAGGGCGGGAAGAGUAGGGGUUUGGGCCGCCAAUCCCGGGGCUCGGAGACCUCCAAGCUGACCAGAAGAAGCACUUGCAGUCGCGCUUCAAGUCUCGCAGUUUUCCCUGGGGAAAAGCAGAAGUUGGUGGACACACUGCACGGCGCCAGAGCAAACUCUGAACUUACCGCGCGCCCUGCUGGGGUGCUCAGCCCCUCGGGGGAACCCCAGAGAAGCGAGGAGAGCAGGGAGGUGGGGAGGCCGCCCAGGUCAGGCGGGCCGAGUCCCAGGAUUGUGGGUGUCCCCCUCCCACGUUGAUCUGUUAAGGGUCCUACGUGGAAAAUCAUUUUUAAUCAAACUGUGAUGGUGGAGGUACAAAGAGGGAAGGAAGACAAAAGAAAGGAGACCUUAUUUAAGAAGGAAAACUAGGAAAAAUGGAGUGGUCAAACUGUGGAGAGGGAGGGAAGGAAAGAAGAAUGGAGAAGGCUUUCCUUCUUUGUUCUAUAAAAGCCCUAGCACUUUCUUUGAAAAUCAAAGUACGGAGAGGCUGUCCUUCUUGGAGCAUGGUUAUGUAAGUGAGAGACACUGCGCGUUAGUUCACCUUUAAAGCAUUUGCUGGGUGGAGUAAAGUUUUUAGAAGGUUCUUUCUCGCCCGGCCCCUGUUUGAAGCUCAACUCAUUUUGAUUUAAAGCAGAUUUGAGAUAAAAAUUUCAGAAGAGAAACUGUGUGUAUACAUAUAUGCAGAUGCAGCAGAGUUUGUAUUCCCUUUAGUUUAUUUCUAAGAGGUUCUAUAGUAAAUUGUAUAUGAUGGCUGGUAUAUUUUUUUCUAAUAUUGUAUUGUCACCCGAGAGAAGAGUCCAGAGUUAUCUUUCUCUCCGCUUCCCUUUAAUAAAUCUCCUAAGAGAGAGAACUCUCAUAUGAUCGUGGCUCUUUUCCUCUCUUUCUGGUUUGCUAUCUUUCCCACACAUGAACACACAAACACACAAUAUACAUCACGCGCAGACUUUGCCCUGAUCAGCCUGUAAAGUAUGAUAUAUAAAUUCAUGCCCCUGUUUUCAGUUUCCCCUGAAGUUUAGAACACUGUCGAGGGUCUCCUUUUGUUCCUCCCCAUGUGUGUGCUUCAUCAGGGAUGUCUGGUAAACCAACACAACAGUCAUCUUUGCUUUGAGUUUGUUUGUGAUUAAAUGGAAAAUAACAUUAAUAAACGGUUUAAAUGGUAUUUUUUUAUAGCAAAGUAUUAACAAGUAAUAAAAUGAACAGUAGUUGUUCCAAAUCUUCAGACUGAUGGCUUCCCAUUGGCAGUCAUAUUUUGGCAAAAGUAUUUCAUAUUAAUUGAAAAUGACUAAAACAGUGCAUGCAUUCCGUUAAGAGAGGCUAACUCACUGAGCUUUACCUCCAGCAGCUUAAACUAUCCAGUUCAAAUUACUUAAGUAAUUCCUACUGAAGGAGGGGUUGGGAAAUCAGGAACUGUGGAAUAAUUUGUGCUUUUGGUCUUUUCAUGAAGCUUUAAUUAAAUCUGAUUUCUGUGAAAACUAAAACUAAAACAAUACGAUAACCCCUUAAGUGGCCUUGUAGAAUAAUAUGCGAUUCUUAUAAAAAAAUGUGUGCCCACUAUAUUUGGUGAAACUAGAUGAAUACAAAUAUAACUAUUAAGUUGUUUUUCCAGUGAUUUUUCUCUCUCAAAUGUUAGACAUGUAGGACUCCAGAACAUGCACUUUAAUGUGUUCUGAUAAUAAGAAAACCGUUGCUGGUUUUCUCAGAGGAGCACAGCUAUCUAGGGGCCAUGCCACAAUCAUUAGAUCAACACCGUCUUUCCUGUCACAUCAUCGUCUACAUGAAAUUCCAUUUUAGGAAAUAUGCAAGAAUAUUACAUUUGUUUCAGAAGCUUGAAAAUACAAUAGAAUUUGAAGUAUUGAAAAAUGUGAUUCUUAGUUGACGGUAUCUUAGAAGUUGCAGGGGUAUCUCUUUUUGAGAUGACUUUAAUAAUGACACUUUAAUAAUGUUGCAAAGUAAGGAAAGAUUUCAAUAGCAGGCAAGAUGUGAUGAAUGGACACAAGGAACAAUGAAGCUAUUGACAAAACAUGCCAACUUUUAGAAUUCUAUCUAAAUUAUUAUUUUUCCUUACAGUGCAGAGAAAGACACCCAAGUACAUCAAUGUUCAUCAGAUGCAGGGUGAUAGAAAUGUGAGCGACAAUUAAUGGACUGUGCUUGUAGUAUGAUUGUUAGUGUAGGUGUGAGAGUACAUGGAGACAUUUUUUCCUGCUUAAAAAACGUCUGUGGUCUUCGGCUGAAAUAGGGGAAGUUUAUAGAAAAUUGAGGCCAAGGAAGAGAAGAGGGAAAGAAGGCUGAAAAGAGAAUAAAGCAAAUUCAGUAAUUAAAAAACGAUUUGUUUUCUAUUUUAGAUUUGACUUUCGUCAAUUGUUCCUGCCAGCUAUUUCGAUGAAAUAAAUGGAAUGUCGCUUAACAGGCAGAUGCUUUGAUACAUUUUCUUCUUAAAGGAUCUGAUUCCUGGCGUCCAAAGGAAACUGGAAUUUAAAUUUAUAGAGCCCUGGGGGAAACCCUUGGAAGAAGUGAUAUAUCAGACAGAUAUAUCCAGAAGCUUAAAAGAAAAUAACAGAAUGCGGAAUCUCAACAGUUGUUUUAAUGGCGGCUAGUUCGUCCCGUUCCAGAAGGCACAAUCCUUCGCCAUGGGACUUUGCUGCUCCCAUCCAGACGUGGAAUCUCUUCUCCACCCCCUGUAAUGCGGGCUGGCCUUUGUGACUGACUUUGACAAAUUUGAUAUAGUGGAACUGAUGUUUUCUAGUUCUGGAAUUGAGGCCUCAAGAAGCUUUGUGGCUGCCACCUUUGUCCUCUUGGAACGCCAUGCCACGCAGAAGCCCGGGAUGAAAGGUCAGGAGGAAGACGGAGGGACGCAGCUGUCUCUGCUGUUCGCUGAGUCCAGCUCCCCGCACCCCACUGAAUGCUGUCACACACAUGAGCCCAGGCAAAGUUGGCACAAAAAGCACACAGCCAACAGAGUCAUGAAAAAUAAAAAAAAAUCCUUGCUGUUUUAAGCCAGUAAGCUUUGAGGUGGUUUGUUAUAUAGCAAUAGUAACCAUACUUGUCUUGUUAUCUGCAAUUAUUUCAAUUGUAUAAAAUUGAGAGAGAAUUUGUUGAUAUGUCAGGUGUCUAAAUUGUGAUCAAAUCAAAGAGCUCUCAGUUUUUUGGUUUUUUUUUUUUUUUUUUUGAGUAAGAUUAGCCCUGAGCUAACAUCUGCUGCCAAUCCUCCCCUUUUUGCCGAGGAAGACUGGCCCUGAGCUAAAAUCUGUGCCCAUCUUCCUCUACUUUAUAUGUGGGAUGCCUACCACAGCAUGGCUUGCCAAGUGGUGCCGUGUGUGCACCUGGGAUCCGAACCGGCGAACCCCAGACCGCCAAAGCAAAUGUCGGAACUUAACCGCUGCGCCACUGGACCGCCCCGAGCUCUCACUAUUUUAAGAGCCUGAGUUAGCAUAUGUGAAGCCACCACGGGGGCCCAAGGUUACUAUGUGUGAUUGUUAUCAUGAUGUUGAUCCCUGAGGUUGGUGAGAUUUAAGAAAGUCACAUUAUUUUAUAUCAUCCCUACGGCAAUGCAGUGAAGCAGGCAGGGUGGUUAUUAUGUUCAUUUUGAAGAUGGAGAAACAGGUUCAGGACAGCCACAGAAGUGUUGAGACCAACAGGCUUGAGAAUGCAUAUCCCUGAGGAGAUGUCAAUGAACCUCAUUUUUCUCACUUGGAAGAUGAAGGGAUUGUAUCAGAGGAUUCCUGAAGUCCCGUUAGCCACGCCAGACGUCUCAGC
Molecule: long non-coding RNA, 4466 nt
Organism: Equus caballus (horse)
Lineage: Eukaryota; Metazoa; Chordata; Mammalia; Perissodactyla; Equidae
Source: Ensembl